RNAcentral lists this ribosomal RNA (469 nucleotides) under uncultured bacterium. RNAcentral describes it as "bacterial SSU rRNA". It matches the Rfam family "Bacterial small subunit ribosomal RNA", at positions 28 to 480 of the family's 1533-position model. The record is from RNAcentral.
GAUGAACGCUGGCGGCAUGCCUAAUACAUGCAAGUCGAACGAGAGGAAGGAAAGCUUGCUUUUCUGAAUCUAGUGGCGAACGGGUGAGUAACACGUAGGUAACCUGCCCAUGUGCCCGGGAUAACUUCUGGAAACGGAUGCUAAAACCGGAUAGGUAGCAGACAAGCAUUUGACUGCUAUUAAAGUGGCUAAGGCCAUGAACAUGGAUGGACCUGCGGUGCAUUAGCUAGUUGGUGAGGUAACGGCCCACCAAGGCGACGAUGCAUAGCCGGCCUGAGAGGGCGGACGGCCACAUUGGGACUGAGACACGGCCCAAACUCCUACGGGAGGCAGCAGUAGGGAAUUUUCGUCAAUGGGGGGAACCCUGAACGAGCAAUGCCGCGUGAGUGAAGAAGGUCUUCGGAUCGUAAAGCUCUGUUGUAAGAGAAAAACGACAUUCAUAGGGAAUGAUGAGUGAGUGAUGGUAUCU